UGGGGAAUAUUGGACAAUGGGCGCAAGCCUGAUCCAGCCAUACCGCGUGGGUGAAGAAGGCCUUCGGGUUGUAAAGCCCUUUUGUUGGGAAAGAAAUCCAGCUGGUUAAUACCCGGUUGGGAUGACGGUACCCAAAGAAUAAGCACCGGCUAACUUCGUGCCAGCAGCCGCGGUAAUACGAAGGGUGCAAGCGUUACUCGGAAUUACUGGGCGUAAAGCGUGCGUAGGUGGUCGUUUAAGUCUGUUGUGAAAGCCCUGGGCUCAACCUGGGAACUGCAGUGGAAACUGGACGACUAGAGUGUGGUAGAGGGUAGCGGAAUUCCUGGUGUAGCAGUGAAAUGCGUAGAGAUCAGGAGGAACAUCCAUGGCGAAGGCAGCUACCUGGACCAACACUGACACUGAGGUACGAAAGCGUGGGGAGCAAACAGGAUUAGAUACCCUGGUAGUCCACGCCCUAAACGAUGCGAACUGGAUGUUGGGUGCAAUUUGGCACGCAGUAUCGAAGCUAA
Molecule: ribosomal RNA, 509 nt
Filed under: uncultured bacterium
Lineage: Bacteria
Description: partial 16S ribosomal RNA
Rfam family: Bacterial small subunit ribosomal RNA
Source: RNAcentral